This is a non-coding RNA of Coturnix japonica (Japanese quail), 11127 nucleotides long. The record is from RefSeq and is a predicted model, not a curated record. Lineage: Eukaryota; Metazoa; Chordata; Aves; Galliformes; Phasianidae.
UCUUUGGAGGUGUUCAGGGAUGUGUUGAAUGGGGCCCUGGGCAGCAUCUGGUGUGGUACCAGAUCUGGAGGUUGGUGGACCUGCCUGUGGCAAGGGGUUGGAAUUUGGUGAUCCUCAGUGUCUUUUCUAACCCAAGCCAUUCUAUGAGCAUCUCUAGCACUGGAGUGUCACUGCUGUAAUGCCACCUGUCUGCUCAGGCUGGUGUUCUGCUGUUCCUCACCAAGUCAUGGGCACAUUGGUUGUGCAAAGACAAUGAGAGGAGGUAAAUGGUAACUUGACACAUCUUCAUUUCCAGCAGAAUUUAAAACAAAAGAACCUAAACCAAACCUUUUCUAACAUCCAUUGGCUCUCCAAUGAGAUGUAGUCUCUGCAGCCAUUUCCUUGCAGUUAAAAUGCUUGGCACCCCACGGUGGAGAGGGGUUCACUGUGGGUUGGCUGCUGGCUGGGGGGGCAGCUGGUGCUCUGCUGUGGGCCUUGGGGAGAAGCAAGCUUGAUGUAUUGGGUAGGAGGGUGGUCCCCGUGGGGUUUUGCGAUGAGAACCCAAUGUGAAGACCUGAAGUUCUCCAUUGCAAGCAUCUGAGUGCUCAGAGGGUGAGUGAGAAGUGUGCUGAGCUGCUCUGUGAAGCAUGAAGCAGCCUGUCAAAAAGCUGAUGCUGUGAGAACGGGUCAUAAAGAACUGUGGUCAUCUACUGAACUUGUGCUGAAAUGUAUUAAAUUCCUCUGGGUUCGCAUCUACUCUGUGUGCUGCUGGGUUGGUCCUGGCUCCUGGGGUCCUGCGUGUGCUGCUUUACAGGCAGAACAGCAGAGCUGCAGCUCUGGAGCAUGAGUUCUGUUGAUGAAGUUCGGUGUUGCAAUUGUAAUGACGUGGAGCAGCAGCAGAGGACGCACGAGCUCGCAAACUGUCCUAGUCUGAAGGUUUGAGCUGGAAGUUGGAAUAAAUGCAGCUGUGCAGUUUGUUGCUGCCUACACUGCUUCGUGUUCUUCAGCAAGGUUCUGCAGUACAGUCCUACCCUAUGGGAACGAACCACAGCGUCUCCUUUAAUAGGUGCGAAGCAUUUUCUGGCCACAGUUUAUACAUUCAAAACCUAUGGGGACGUGUAUGUACAUCUAUCUACCUGUCUGUCUACAUAGGUAGCUAUAAAUAUAUAUGUACAAUGGUAUGUGGUUACAUUUGUUAAUGUUCUCCAAUACUUAUUAGCAACUUAAAUUUAGCGUUUGUAUAUUAAUUAUUGAUUUUUUUCAAGGCAAUCUACUCUGUACCCACAGCACAUCUGCAUUUCUGUUCGCAGUUCUGGGUGAAAGGCUUAAAUGACAUUGCCAUGGGCGAUUCCAUGAGCAGGAAAGAUGUGUGGAAUGGCACUGCUUGAUUUUGUUGCUUGAUGUGGGUGAAUGAUGUGAAGGUGAAUGUGUUCAUAGUCCUUUGGGUUUUCUUGGAUGUGAGAUACAGACGAGCUUUUGUUAGCUUUCCUUAGGUGCCAAAACAAUUAAGUCUAGAAUUGCUGAGCUUCAGUAAGGUGGGACUAGCUGACUGGAAAUCCUUUAAUAGAGCACUCAGUAAAGGCCAAGUAUUCAGCUCUUUCUUUCAGUUUUCAAUAGGACUUUACUCCUGGGGGUUAUUACUUGGGCUUGCUAUUACAUUAUGACUCACCAUCUCUCUAACUACCUGAACAGUAAGAAGAUUUACCCCAUACAAGCAUGCUGAUAAUUCCCUUCAUUCUCUUUUCUGGCCAGAACUGGUUCAGGUUCUACAGAGAUUGCUCAGCAUUGGUUCAUAGAGGCUGAAAUAGGUAAGGCUGUGAAAACUCCAAUUUACAUGUAUGUGGAUGUCAUAUAUGCAUGAAAAUUUGGGUAUCUUGGUCUUUUGUCCGUGAUUCUGCUCAGAUAAAACAGAAGUCCUUGCCCUUUUGAGGCAGAGGUGUGAGUGACUGAAUAAGUUUGUCUAGUGCUCCAUCCUGGGCUUCCUGGAGCUGUGGGGACCAUAGUAUACUUUGUACUUUAUGCCUUUCUAGAAUGUAUCGCUGGUUUUUCAUUAGUUUAGGAUUUGAUAGAGGUUAUGUAGUUUAUACUGUGGUCUAUCCUUAGAUUUUUAUCCUGUUUUUUUUCUGUAGGAUGUUUUGUCUACCAGCAUUGCUGAGACCAGCAUCACCACCAAUUAUGUGGUCUAUGUCAUGGACUUCUGCUGCGAGUGAGCCCGUGAAACAGCUUUUUGUUUUGUAAAUCCUGUCCUUUGGAAUGCAAAAAAGGUUUUCUGACCACACAGAACUGCCCCGUGUUCCCACAGCCCCACAAUCCCAGAGCUGAAUCUGAGGACUCGAGCUCACUCAAGACAGAUCCGCAUUGUCUUUAACUGUUCAGUUGAGUUACAAACGGCAUCGGGGUGGGCUGCUUUUGGCCAUCUGCAUUCACUCUGGCGCCACCGCUCAUGUGAGGUGUUACCGGGUCUCCGUGCAUAUUAUAAGCAUGUAGUCUGCUAAAUGGGUGUUAUGAACACACAGGAUAGAGAUGCUGGAAAUUAGGAAGAUUGCUGUAGACUGUUGCAGAUCCUGUCUUGCUAUGUGAGUAAAUUACACAUGGGAAUCUCACUAAUCGUACUGGAAUUUGGAGUGUUUUGAGGGAGUUCCGAGCAUUUCGUUCUGUAUAUAGCUUGGAGCACUGCUUUAUAAAUAGUGCUGUGCUUUGGUUUGCUAACAGGUGGCUAAGUAGCCAAAGCUUAGCUGGUCAAGCAGGGAUGGUUUGCUUCUUAAAAGCAGCGUGGCUGCAGGGAAUGAAGUAAGGGCUGGUUUGGCAGGACUGAAGAUGCUGAAUAUCAGAUCUUCUGCUUUACUCUGUAACAGAUAAAAAGCGAAGCUAUUCUCUGCUGACAGUAUCAUCAGUCUGGGGAUCAAAAACUAAUUUGCAGCAGUAGAAAGGAGGAGCGGGACAUGUGCGUGCUGGGUUUUGUUUCCAUUUGUAUGGCAGAACUCACUUUAAAAAGUGAAGCUGUGCCCUUCAGAAUUAAAAUAGCUCUGGAGAGUUCUCUAAGAACUGUUGCAUGUCUGUCUGAUCCGACUGGGAAAGUAAAGUCAGGAAGCACAGACAGGAAAUGCGGGAAUUCUUGGCUAUCUCAGUUCUUUUUCUUUAAGAACAUAUAUGUGUUUAUAUGUUUGUACCCAUAGUGGGAAGUGGAGAGAUAGUUCGUGAUCUUAUUGUUCAGAACUUCCCUGUGAACCUAAAGAAUCUCUCAGGGGAAAACAUGAUAGUGCUUGAGAACUGAAGCAGAGAAGAGCUUUGGAAUGAGAAUAAGGCUCUCAGACAUUCCUUCAGAUGUUGCAAGCAGUUGAAUUUUUCACAUAACAGGCAAUUUUGUCAUGAAGGUGGUAAAAUCCAGGCAAGGCAGAUGUUCUCUGUUCACCCCCAUUCUGUGGUCAGGAACACUGCUGAACUGCUGCUCCAGCUCUUUCCCCACUGCUAAGACUUCUGAUUCCUCUAAUGGACAAAUUGUUUCUCAGUCAGUUGAGCCAUGGAAAUCUUUUUGCCAGCUGCAGAAGUGUACACAGCUCUUAUACACUCUCUGGUCUCCCCUUGAAACUUAGCAAGCCCUUUUCUCAAGGAGCAUAUAGAGCAUAGCUGUGUUUGAGUGCUCAACUUCGUAUGUGUGUGACAUCCACGUGCAUGUGCCUGGGAAGGAGAGUGUGUGUCUUGUGGACUUGUGCAAAGAGAUAUGAAAACCUGAUAACAUCUCAAUGUCAAAUCUGUUUGAGGUGUCCCAAAAGCUUUUCUAGCUGUCUGCUACCCAGUGUGGCCAUUACUAUGGGUUCCUAUUUCAGUUAGCAAGUUAAGUGCCCAUUAACAAUACCAUGUCAGAGAUAAAGACUUCAGAACUCUCUCUUUCCAGCAGGUCCCUGAGAUGAGAACUGAGAAGAAAGGAAUGCUAGAAGAAUGCAAUGAGAGAUGGAAUGGCUAGGAAGCAGUAUUUGCUUUGAGAGGCAACAGUUGAUGCUGAUGGAAUGACCCAUGUUGGUGAUCAGAGUCCAUGUUCAACAAACAUGGGCUUUUUUGUCCUCUUCUCAUUCUAGACUUAAACUCAUGUGCCACCUGAGAUAACAUCCUUUUGUGUAAUUCUCUCAAGCACUGAAUUGCUGCAGCUGGGAGAAACGGGUCACCUUUUGACUAAAGCAAUAGAGCCACCACCUUUGGGUGCUGCAGUGGAAACUGAACGCUCACUAAUUGGUACCACUGUUUGCUCAUAAGGCUCUGUGUUAAUGAAGGUGAGUCUGAAUGAUUUCCCAUGUAUAGUGAUCACUUACAAACUGCUUUAAUGUCUCUUUUGUCUGCUUGUUUCUGUAGUAGCACGCUGACCAAAACAGCAGGGUGUAUUUUGGAGGCAUUGUGUGGGUGGCAGUGUCUUCUUGCAGCUGAAGAAAUACUUGAAUUCCCAGGUGGAGCAUCUUUCCUUUAAGAAACUUGAGCCUUCGAACCUAAGGCUUGUUUUAUUUUGUUGUUGUUGCUGUCGGUUUUUAUUUUGCUUUUUCCUUAACCAAUAACCUAUGCUUGCUUCCAGCUUCCUGUUUUCCAGCUGUGGCACUGUUGUGUCUUACAUUGCCUUAGGCACUGGACUGAGUCUUUUACAGACCUACUAUAAAGCCACUAAAAAGAGUGGUUAGUAGUUUUUUUUGGUUUUUCUUUUUUUGUAUAAUUACUGCUUUCCACAGUUUGUUAAGCUGAGAUUUCAAAAUGUUGUAGAGUAAUUAAAUCUCCAUCUCCAUCCUUUAAAUCUGAAUGUGCAAGCAUCAGUAUCCUCCUGAAAGAGAAGAAAUGGAGGUGGGAGUUGAGCAGUCUCCCCAGUUUUUCCAAGGAACCAGGAAAAUGAGUAAGAUGAAGCAGAGAGGAGCAUGACAUUUAUGAGCUGGUUUAAAGCAAUGAUUAGAGAAAGAGUUCUCUUACUUUUCUUAUCAGAAAUGUUUUUCUUUAGGAUUUUUAGACCAAUUUGUAUUUGAUAGUGGCUAAGGAGUCCAUUAUCUGUUUGCUUUCCCAUUUUAUUGCUGAGGCAAUAGAUGGAAGUGCUCUAAUUACACUGAAGUUUCCCAAAGUAUAUGAUACCUCACUCUGUAGAGUAUGCAAACAAUACAUUAGCAUUUUUCAUUUGUUUCUAAAGAGUUUUUGAAGAUCACAUCUGUAUAGGUUUUCUUUGGCAUGCAGACUUGAGAGAGGGAAAGAGAACACAAGGGAGCACAGAACUAUGAAGUGGAGCAUAAUGAUGAUGACCAAAUCUCCACCUGGAGAUGGACCCAAAAUCUCCAAUUUCCAUGACUUAGACUGUCAAGGAAACCUGUGAGGCUCUUUCAUCUGCAGAGGAAACAGCCAUAGAUAUUUGUUUGACUUUAUUGUUGCUGGUAGUUUGAUAGCUUAAAGGUUGACCUCAAGUAAACAAGGACAUGGUAUAGUGGGACCUACUGGUAAUAGGUGAAUGGUUGGACUGGAUGAUCUUUUAGGUCUUUUCAAUCCUUGGUGAUUCUAUGAAGCUGUUUGGAUUAUGGAAAGAGAGAAGGGAAGACAAAUGCUGUGUAUGACCUCGUAGAAGGAAGACUUGGUGUUGUUCUCUUGUUGAUGAACAGAGGGUGUUGUAAUUUAGCAAGUGUAGUGAUACCUGCAAUUGGCUGUCAUGGGGCUGCUUUGAUUUUUGUGAGGCAGAAAUUGGGUUAGAUGAAUUUGAUCAAAUUUAGAGACCUAAAAAGACUGUAAUUAACAGUGUAGAAAAAAAGGUCAUUUUACCCCUCUAUAAAGACCUAGAGAUGGUUGGAAGAAGAUAGACAAAGUAUGCAACAAAAGAAAAAGCAGAGAAAGACUUUGUGGAUACCAAAGAUUUAGCAUGACUAAAGAAUGGCUUAGGUAGGAAAGGGGAUUUCUGAAAGGUGUGUAUUCAUUGUUUUCCCAGAAAGUGAGAUUCUAUUUGGACACGGUGAUUUAACGAGCAUGUUUUUCAUUCAGGGAUGAGAAAUAAACAGGAUAAUCUGCGAUCAACAUAUAGGCAAGGAAGCGUGCAUUAAAGCUCUUCUGCUUUUACAGGUGUGUUCAGGUGAAAUUAAUAGUGCCAUCUCAUUCUUGUCUGUUUUUAUCUGGUAGACAACGACAAGCUGUGAUGGCUGAGGUGCAAUACAGGGGGGUUUUGGAGGUUGAGGGAAGGCCAGAAGGAUUGAAAAUGUUGACUAAUUGUUCUUAAAGGAACCUCCCUGAUUUUCUGCUCUUCACUUGUUGCAUCCCCAAAGUGUCCUCUCUCUGUGACAGCAAGUUCAUUGCUGUUUGUUAUGGCUGUUCUACUGAUUUCCAUUCUGGAAGCUGAAUAGAAUCUAUUCAUCUGAUCUCCAGGCCACCAGCAGCAGGCAUCAACCUCAUGGCUGCCAUUGGAAGAACUGCAUCUUGGAGGUGGAAUUCCAAGUUUUCCUCCCACUCUUCUAUCUGAAAAGCCACAAUGAUGACAAAAAACAUUCAUAAAGGUUAUGCUGGAAAAUAGAUGAAGAUUUGCAGUUUUUUCCCUCGGACAACUGAGUUCCUGACCCAUAGUCCUUCCCACAACUGAGAGAACAGUGCCUGUCCAAGAACAUCCAACAGGACAUCCAACUUUGUUAUGCAGCACCAUUGGGAGGCCGCCAGUCCUGUGAGCACCUCGAUGUGACACCCCUUUGCUGGGAAGCAGAGCGGCGCUGUGAGUCAGUUGCCACAGAGGUUUGCUUUUGAAGGGCUUUCCUUGUUUUCUAUCGGAGCUUCUAUGUUCAUGUGUUUACAGCCCAGUAGAUCAUAAAGCAGCUGUCACCUGCAGGAGGACGUGGAAGGAGCAACAUACAUUGGUAUUGUUUUAAUGUAAAUUAGCACAGAUCUUGUAGAGAGGUGUCCCUUUGCAAACAAGAAUAAGUGCUAAAAGUCAGCAUCAGUCAGUGCAGAACAGAAGCUUUCAUAGCACUUUGCUCUCAGCUCUUGGAAUGAAGAGUGCUUUAACCAGCAACAGCUGUCUCAGUAACACUAGGCGUACCAGUAGAGCUGGAAGAGGCAAUCUUGUGUUGGGCGUUAUCGUGUUUGUGUUUGCUCGGAAGCAGAUCCUGCGUGCUCAUUCUUGGCAAUAACACAAUAAUAUUUCAGUGUUCUGAAAGCUGUUUACACAUAUGAUACUUUAAUGCUUUUAACAAAAAAGAAAUGAAAUCCACUGCACAAAUGAUUGCUCUCUGCUGAGAGUAUUUAUCACUGUGCAUGCCCAAGUGGCAUCACCCACUCCACUGUUAAGGGGCUUUGCAAUUUGUGAAGUGAGAAGGUGGUUCAGCAAAGAUGUGGAGGCUCUGAGCUGAGGUGAACUCUGAAGUUGUUUGCCCGUUUUAGACAAAGGCCACGUGUCAAAAUGCCUCUUUACAUUACUGUUGUCAUACAUAGAAGAACUACAGAGACAGACGUUGUCAUGUGAUCUUGUGAUUCAAUUCACAAAGGUUUUUGCACCUCUAGAAAAGUCCAUGUGAUAUCAAAGUAGAAAAAUGGUACUUGUGAAAAUAGCAUCUUCCUAUCCUGCAGUUCUUUCCAGACAGAGUAUUUUUGAGUCUAUGAGCAAUAUAUGUUAAAAACAGUGGCUGCAUCAGGUAGAUAUAGUAACAAAUAUCUACAAAUAAGAGACAGAAAUGUAUGUAAGCUGUCCAAAGUGAUAGUGCCUGAAUUUACAUUUUACAAGACGAUGACUUCACUCCUUGCACGUAACUCAGCAAAGCUGUCUAAACAAUGCAAGUAGCUUGUCUAGCUUUCCCACACUAAAUACCUUAUUCUGAGCUGCAUCCAGCUUCUGUGAGCCCCCGGUUUUCAGAUCAAAGCUCGCCACGUUCUUUCUCUAUAAAGUUGACCUUAAACUCUGAACAGGGAGUGGUCACAAAAUAUCUGUAGCCAAAAGUAGGGCUAGUGAGAACCCUUCAGCCUAGUUAACUGAUCCAAGAGGAGGCCGGGAACUUAAAACUUCAGCUGGAAGUGUUUAUAGAAAUCUUAGAAGAGGACAUCCGUUAUCAUUCUAAGCGAAAUAAUGAUCUCUAAUCACAGCAUACACAACAUACUUUGCUUAGUAACACUCAUCUUAUUCCUUGGAAAGUUCUGCUGUAUUAAAUAUGUGAGCUAGGUAGCUUACCUACGUAUUCUAUCAUGAGUUAUUGUGGAUCAUCAAAGUAUUCAUCAUUGUGGAUACCAUCAUGGACACAGCAAACUGGCCACUUCUAACUGAAGAUGUAAUUAAACCUUUGGAAUUGAAGCCUGCUUCCUGGCUGCUCUGGGACUGCAUGUACCUAACAAGGACACUCCUGGUAAUGACACUCCUGGUAAUCAUUCUUCCAGCCAGUCAUUUGCUGCAGAUUUUAAGGUAUUUGAGCUGCAGAGAAUGUGAAAAAUGUGAGAAGUGAUGUACAGCUGCAGAAAGGAUGAUGUGCUUGAAAGAGUCAUCAUGACACUAUAGGCAACAGACAGACUGAGCACUGGCUCCUUGUCCUUGUGAGGGCUGGAGCCUUCCUGUGUAGUUCCAGACAGCACAGUGAUCACAGAAUGGCUUGGGUUGGAAGAGACCCCAAGAAUCACCAUGUUCCAACCCCCUUCCACAGGCAGGGCUGACCACCACUAGAUCAAGUGCUAGACCAGGCUGCCCAGGGCUCCAUCCAACCUGGUAACCUGGGGCCACCAUGUCUUCUCAUCUGCUCACAUUUUAGCUUCCCCAAAGCAGGAAUUCAAGAGAAACUUGCAAAAUUGCCAUUUGUCAUUUUGUUUUGGGAUGAACAAUUGCUUUAUUAAGUUCUAUUUGUACGCUGGAACCUGUAUAAAUUGGCAACCCUGACUGCUCCAUGUGAGGAGAACAACACACUGGGAGAACAUCUGCUGUCCCAACAGCAACCUGGAAGGAAAUUUGACAGUGAGUACUGGGGAUCAGUAUGAGAAAAAUGCUGUUAGUGUCUGUUGUACACUUCAGGGGACUAACAAAGUUAUCUGCCAUCUCUCUGCACAGUGGUCCUCACUCUUCUUUCUUUGUUUACAGAUCCAGAUGUUGUUAGGCUGAGACUUGGCCAGGCGGCUUCUAGUGACUAAAUAGUUAUUAUUGCUCCUUGUCCUGAAAGAUGGAAUUUAUUAAAAUUAGGGGCUCCUGCAUUGGAGAUGAAUACUAGAAAAAGCUUUUAAGCCUCUAUAGUGGAAAGCUGUGAAUUCUGCAGCAUGGUGCUCUGUGACUGACAGUCUGAAAUCCAGGCAGGACAAGAAAAGUAAACCAAAGCAACUGCAAGGAUUCUCUCAGAUUAGUGCAAGCUAAAAAGAACUUUCAGCCAUUAUAUGGAGGCUUAAUGCUCUUUGGGGUACUGUGUGCAGAAUUAGAUUUAUAUUUGCUUAAAUGAACUGGGAGUCCCAUGGUUGGAAAAGACCUCCAAGAGCACCCUGUCCAACCAUCUGUCAAUAAUAUGCAUAUCCUGGGACAAAUAAUGCUUUAAAAUAUGUGAAAAUUCGGAAGUGAACAACCAUGUAUAAAACGUCAGACACAACUUUCGAGCUCUGAGAGCUGCGCUGAAGCAUUGGUGAAAACGGUAUGUUAGGUAUGUAUCACGACAUAAAGAUGUUUAUGUUCUGGAGUGUUUUGUUUUCUUAACCUUUGAAGUUCAGCAGUUCGGGUGGCAAAGCCUUGGUUGCCACAAGGCCGUGUUUGAAAGGGACUGUGAAAUGUAUUUUGAGAACGACUCAAAGCCAAAAAGCAGACCAACAAAAAACUACAUUCCAAGUUAAAAAAAACACCGGAGAGUGACAACGAGGUGCUAUUUUAAGGAGUUUUCUGUGAUAUAAAACAGUACAGAAAAUACCUUUUAGGAAGCACGUUCUGGUACCUCAAUCUAAAAUGUCGUUUCAAGGCUAAUUGAAAUUUAACAGUCUUUAACCAACAGGAAUCUGGGAUGAAACUUUGCCAGAAGACAGGCACAGGGAAGACUGACAUUAUCAUCACAUGAACUUGUAGCCUAUAUUCUGUGCUUUCUUCCCAUCACAACCAAUUAUCAUUAAUCUUUAAUAUUUAAACAUGAUAAAUCUUGAUUUUGACUUCUUGCAAUGAUUUUAAAAUAACUCGUAAAUAGCUGAGGGUAAUUAAUGCACAUGAAAGGAAUUAUUAGAAAAAUACUGUAGUUGAUCUACUUAAGUGCUUUCAAUUGCAUUAAAUGCUGAUAUAAUAAUUUUAUCAAGCUCCAAAAUGAAAGACAUGAACAACAGUUGAAGGAAGUACAAAUUAUCUUCGUAAAGACCUAUCAAGAGGAUACAGGGUACAGAACAAACUGUCUCUUUGCAGUCACUCUGUUUUUCUGUACCACUGGCUGUGCCUUUCUGAUAUUUCCUGUUGAACUGAGUAGCAGAGAUGGAAACGUGGGCAGAAUGUUGAGGUUCCCAGAAAGGAAAAUGUAUUUUACAACUCAUAAUGUUAUGAGUUCCCAACACUCUGCUUUAUGAAUCAGAAUUAAUUCAUCGUCGUGAUUUAGAAUCAUAGAAUCACCAAGGUUGGAAGAGACCUACAAGGUCAUCCAGUCCAAAUUCCAGUCUUGUAAAUAGCAGUGGAUGACAACUACCAGAGAAUGAUCUUGCAGACCAGAGAAUAGUCAUGCACAUUUCCUCUAAGUAUUUCAAGACUGUAAGACUUAGCACUCCCAACAAACAGGGCUUGCCCUCUUUAGCUGAAGAUUUGGGAGAGUAAACACAGCCCUGCUAUGGCCUCCACCCUCCACCCUCUUUCCCACCCGACCCUCCUGGGUCUUUGGGGGAUCUUCUCUUGACUCAAAGACAAGGGAAGGAAGGGUGGGAAACCAGAGUGCUGGCUUUUCUCCCAGCUUUUUGCAGCAGGAGCUGUGGGUGCUCUUCAGGAGCUCUGCAGACUUAUCUCUUCCUUCUCUUUGUUUAUCUAGUAGCAAGAGAAGGCUUAGUCAUUGUACAAGAUGCAGGAGAGUCGUAAAUCCUGGCAGUCUAGAGUGAGAGAAAGGAAAAACAGGAAAUACAGAGUGAUAUUAGCUCAGUAAUGGUAUUGUGUUAUCCCCCCAAGAUUGCCCAUGUUUGAUAGAGGGAUGAUCUUGUCAAAAAAAAAAAAUAAAUAAAAGCUUCUGGUGUUCCUGCAAACAUCUGCCUCAA